Molecule: ribosomal RNA, 230 nt
Filed under: uncultured eukaryote
Lineage: Eukaryota
Description: partial 18S ribosomal RNA
Rfam family: Eukaryotic small subunit ribosomal RNA
Source: RNAcentral
UUCUUCCCUAUUCACCUUUGAAGGUAGGGUAGUUGCCUACCUAUGGUUUUACCGGGAACGGGAAAAUUAGGUUUGGUUUCGGAAGGGGGACCUUGAGAAACGGUUCCCCCAUCCAAGGAAGGCAGCAGCCGCGCAAUUUCCCAAUCCUUACCAGGGGAGGGUAGGGCCAAUAAAUAACAUACAGGCUAUUUGGGUCUGGUAAUUGGAAUGAGUACAAUUUAAAUCCCUAA